Ricinus communis (castor bean) is the source of this 167-nucleotide non-coding RNA. The record is from Rfam. NCBI's taxonomy places the organism in Eukaryota, Viridiplantae, Streptophyta, Magnoliopsida, Malpighiales, Euphorbiaceae.
CCUCGCGGCGGACGAGCCGCGCGGGCCGCCUUGAAUUACAAUUUCCACCGGGCGGCGGACUGAAUCCUUUGCAGACGACUUAAAUACGCGACGGGGUAUUGUAAGUGGCAGAGUGGCCUUGCUGCCACGAUCCACUGAGAUUCAGCCCUUUCGUCGCUCCGAUUCGU